Long non-coding RNA from Xenia sp. Carnegie-2017, 454 nucleotides. RefSeq lists it as uncharacterized. The record is from RefSeq and is a predicted model, not a curated record. NCBI's taxonomy places the organism in Eukaryota, Metazoa, Cnidaria, Anthozoa, Malacalcyonacea, Xeniidae. The transcript is spliced from 2 exons.
UUUAAUGAAAAUUUGCCGAAGCAUUAGUAGCUACGUUUGUCCAUUAUUUAAUUUUCUCGCACUAUAUCUUUUGAAUGUUUUUUCUUUUUUAUUCUUGUUCAGUUUACCUAUGUACAAAUAUUAUGUUGCAUAUGUACAAAGGCAAGUGUCUUCGGGUAAUUUGAAUUUCCCAAAGGAAAUAACUUACGCCAAGUUUCGUCUCGCUAUCAUUGCCAUGAUACGAUUGCUUGAUAUUGAUUUUGACAAUGAGUUUUUUGUGAAUUAUGUGGAAGAAUUCCCCAGAAGGUGGUGAUGGAUGGAACAACUCUUGAAAUACAGAAAACUUUCUUACCAAAUAGUUUAAGAGAGUCUGAUACUGGAUUGCUAGAUGGAAGAUAAGUAUUUUUGAAGUUUAUCUGUAAUAUAUAAUAUAUACAGGUCUGCUAAUUAGUAAAUACGAGUGUUCAUCUACGUA